GGGGAAGAAUGCAGCCCUGGAGGCCAGAGUGACAGCCAGUGAGAGACAGGUGGAGCAGCUGGAGAAAGAGAAUGCAGACCAAGUAGCUGAACUGUUAUCCUUGGGAAGCAGAGUGACAACCCUUCAGAGCCAGGUGGCAGAACUGAAGAAAGAGAAUGCAGCUCUGGACAUCAGAUUGACAGCCAGCGAAAGGCAGGUGGCAGAACUGAAGAAAGCGAAUGCAGUCCUGGAGGCCAGAGUGACAGUCAGUGAGAGUCACGUGGCAGAACUGGAG
Molecule: long non-coding RNA, 274 nt
Organism: Oncorhynchus gorbuscha (pink salmon)
Lineage: Eukaryota; Metazoa; Chordata; Actinopteri; Salmoniformes; Salmonidae
Exons: 5
Source: RefSeq, a predicted model, not a curated record